RNAcentral lists this ribosomal RNA (445 nucleotides) under uncultured bacterium. RNAcentral describes it as "bacterial SSU rRNA". It matches the Rfam family "Bacterial small subunit ribosomal RNA", at positions 338 to 800 of the family's 1533-position model. The record is from RNAcentral.
CCUACGGGAGGCAGCAGUGGGGAAUCUUAGACAAUGGGCGCAAGCAUGAUCUAGCCAUGCCGCGUGUGUGAUGAAGGUCUUAGGAUCGUAAAGCUCUUUCGCCAGGGAUGAUAAUGACAGUACCUGGAAAAGAAACCCCGGAUAUCUCCGUGCCAGCAGCCGCGGUAAUACGGAGGGGGUUAGCGUUGUUCGGAAUUACUGGGCGUAAAGCGUAYGUAGGCGGAUCAGAAAGUAUGGGGWGAAAUCCCAGGGCUCAACCCGGGAACUGCCUKAUAAACUCCUGGUCUAGAGUUCGAGAGAGGDGAGGGGAAUUCCAAGUGUAGAGGWGAAAUUUGUAGAUAUKGGGAGGAACACCAGUGGAGAAGGCGGUUCAGUGGCUCGAUASWGACGCUGAGGUGCGAAAGUGGGGGGAGCACACAGGAUUAGAUACCCUGGUUGUCCACAC